Molecule: ribosomal RNA, 463 nt
Filed under: Panulirus pascuensis
Lineage: Eukaryota; Metazoa; Arthropoda; Malacostraca; Decapoda; Palinuridae
Description: partial 16S ribosomal RNA
Rfam family: Archaeal large subunit ribosomal RNA
Source: RNAcentral
UAGCCUGCCCAGUGACAUUAAAGUUCAACGGCCGCGGUAGCUGACCGUGCUAAGGUAGCAUAAUCACUUGUCCCUUAAUUGGGGACUGGUAUGAACGGCUGAACAAGAAAUCGACUGUCUCGACUAUAAAUUUGAAAUUAACGUUUAAGUGAAAAGGCUUAAAUAGGAUAGGGGGACGAUAAGACCCUAUAAAUCUUGAUAACCAAAGUAAUAAUUUUAUGUAGUAGUCAUAAGCUUAAAUUUAAUACUUUUGUUAUUUUGUUGGGGCUACAGGGGGUAUAAUUAAUAACUGCGGUUGGGAAAAAUAAUUAAUUAUUUUUAUUGUGUUGUGUUUAAGAUCCUUCUUUGAAGAUACAGGUCAAGUUACUUUAGGGAUAACAGCGUAAUCUUCUUUGAGAGUUCAUAUCGAAAGGAGGGGUUGCGACCUCGAUGUUGAAUUAAAGAACCUUUAUGGUGCAGCAGC